Molecule: ribosomal RNA, 252 nt
Filed under: uncultured bacterium
Lineage: Bacteria
Description: partial 16S ribosomal RNA
Rfam family: Bacterial small subunit ribosomal RNA
Source: RNAcentral
ACGGAGGGUGCAAGCGUUAAUCGGAAUUACUGGGCGUAAAGCGCGCGUAGGCGGUUGUUUAAGUCGGAUGUGAAAGCCCUGGGCUCAACCUGGGAACUGCAUUCGAUACUGGGCAACUAGAGUAUGAGAGAGGGAGGUAGAAUUCCAUGUGUAGCGGUGAAAUGCGUAGAUAUGUGGAGGAAUACCAGUGGCGAAGGCGGCCUCCUGGCUCAAUACUGACGCUGAGGUGCGAAAGCGUGGGGAGCAAACAGG